AACGAACGCUGGCGGCAUGCCUAACACAUGCAAGUCGAACGAGACCUUCGGGUCUAGUGGCGCACGGGUGCGUAACGCGUGGGAAUCUGCCCUUAGGUUCGGAAUAACUUCGGGAAACUGAAGCUAAUACCGGAUGAUGACGUAAGUCCAAAGAUUUAUCGCCUAAGGAUGAGCCCGCGUUGGAUUAGCUAGUUGGUGAGGUAAAGGCUCACCAAGGCGACGAUCCAUAGCUGGUCUGAGAGGAUGAUCAGCCACACUGGGACUGAGACACGGCCCAGACUCCUACGGGAGGCAGCAGUGGGGAAUAUUGGACAAUGGGCGAAAGCCUGAUCCAGCAAUGCCGCGUGAGUGAUGAAGGCCUUAGGGUUGUAAAGCUCUUUACCCGGGAUGAUAAUGACAGUACCGGGAGAAUAAGCUCCGGCUAACUCCGUGCCAGCAGCCGCGGUAAAGUGACUACUG
This 459-nucleotide ribosomal RNA is filed under the name uncultured bacterium. RNAcentral's name for it is "bacterial SSU rRNA". It matches the Rfam family "Bacterial small subunit ribosomal RNA", at positions 29 to 534 of the family's 1533-position model. The record is from RNAcentral.